Molecule: ribosomal RNA, 228 nt
Filed under: uncultured bacterium
Lineage: Bacteria
Description: partial 16S ribosomal RNA
Rfam family: Bacterial small subunit ribosomal RNA
Source: RNAcentral
CGGGUGAGUAAUGUCUGGGAAACUGCCUGAUGGAGGGAGAUAACUACUGGAAACGGUAGCUAAUACCGCAUAACGUCGCAAGACCAAAGAGGGGGACCUUCGGGCCUCUUGCCAUCGGAUGUGCCCAGAUGGGAUUAGCUAGUAGGUGGGGUAACGGCUCACCUAGGCGACGAUCCCUAGCUGGUCUGAGAGGAUGACCAGCCACACUGGAACUGAGACACGGUCCAG